AGCGUACGCUGGCGGCAGGCCUAACACAUGCAAGUCGAACGAACCUUUCGGGGUUAGUGGCGGACGGGUGAGUAACACGUGGGAACGUGCCUUUAGGUUCGGAAUAACUCAGGGAAACUUGUGCUAAUACCGAAUGUGCCCUUCGGGGGAAAGAUUAAUCGCCUUUAGAGCGGCCCGCGUCUGAUUAGCUAGUUGGUUGAGGUAAUGGCUCACCAAGGCGACGAUCAGUAGCUGGUCUGAGAGGAUGAUCAGCCACAUUGGGACUGAGACACGGCCCAAACUCCUACGGGAGGCAGCAGUGGGGAAUCUUGCGCAAUGGGCGAAAGCCUGACGCAGCCAUGCCGCGUGAAUGAUGAAGGUCUUAGGAUUGUAAAAUUCUUUCACCGGGGACGAUAAUGACGGUACCCGGAGAAGAAGCCCCGGCUAACUUCGUG
RNAcentral lists this ribosomal RNA (434 nucleotides) under uncultured bacterium. RNAcentral describes it as "partial 16S ribosomal RNA". It matches the Rfam family "Bacterial small subunit ribosomal RNA", at positions 29 to 507 of the family's 1533-position model. The record is from RNAcentral.